GAUUCCCUUGUUUGCAAAGCGGAGGCGGGAGGAGAUAAUGGGGCCGGAGGGUUGUUAACUACGUUGCAUUGACUUAGAGAAGCUAAUGACAAGCUGAGAGCAAUUAGACAAUCGAAAACUAAGUGUGAGAGCCAACAAGUCUCAUCAGCAGCUUCAAGGAAAGCCUCCGGUCUGGCAGAAGCGCAAGGAAAACCCAAGUUCAAAUUCAGACUUGAGAGCCCGAAUGGCUGAACGUCACAGACGCCUGAGCGCUCAGCUGGGGGCAGGACAGUGGCGGCAACAACGUCAGGAGCCUGGUUGGGACCCCAGGACCCCCAGGGGGCAAGGACUCCUUCAGAGAACUUUCACCGCCUGAGCCUGCAGCAGGGAGAGCCAGCCUCCCCCCCCCGCCCCCCGCCCCAGGGAAGCCAUGCAGAAUUCUGCCCCCAAGAGACAGCAGGUGUCUGUCCCCAUACCGUCCCCUCCCCCUUACCAGCCUCCAUGCCUGUAACCAGAAUUAAGUCACAACACAGCUGGGACAGUUCUGGAGGAAAGGGGCUGCCUCUCAGAGGAGCAGCAGGGCUCAGCGGGCAUGGGCAGCAGAAGCGGGGAGGGGUGCCUGCGGGGUUGGUGCCCGGGUGCUCCCUGCAUGGCUGUCGCCGUGACUGGACUGAGCAGCUCCCCUGGUCUAAGAAGGAACAGCAACGGGGCUCAGACCUUCAGGACCGAGGGUGUGGGUCACACCCCCAGGAAGGUCCCUGGGACCUGCAGGUGACAGCUGAGGAGGGGAGCAGGCUGGACAGUGGAGGCCCGAGACCAGCGGCACCAACUGGGGAGGUACGUCCGUGGACCUCCUUCUGUCUCCCCCAGGAUGACGGGCUGGGGUCCCCCCCCACAUGCAAGGGAGGGGAACCGUGGGCACGGGGACGGGGCACGUGUGUCCCAGGGAACUCCCUGCCAAAAGUGACUCCAUGGGAGUUCCCUGGUAGGCUAGUUGUUAGGAUUCUGCGCCUUCACCGCUGUGGUCCAGGCUUAGCCCCUGGUCUGGGAAUUGAGAUCCCACAUCAAGACGCUGUGGCCAAAAGUUAAUUAAUGAAUUAAUGAAAAAAAGAGAGACGCUCUGCCCAACACAAGAGCUGGGCUGACAGCCCCCUGCCAUUGGCUCUUGGGGUCCACCCCAGAUCUCAGGGAGUGCCGCAGUCAGCCGCCAAGCGAGGCUGUGGUCUGAGGCCUUGCGUGGCCCUCCCCCCGGACUCCAGAAGUCCCCUGGGAACCCUUUGGAGCCUCACUCUUCGAAGCAUCUGCUUCUCUGAGACCGUCCCACUUGGCUGCUCUGUGAUGACAGGCAGGCAGGCAGGGAGGGUUGGUUCGUUCACUCUGCGAGUAUUUGGGGAGGCACGCUGGAGGCCAAGGCCACCCCAUCCCGGUUUGCACCUGGCUCUAGUAGGAUGCUGGGCAUGGUUCUGAACUGCCCUGUCCUCGCCCCCUGUCCAGGCAACGGGAUCAUGUAGCGCUCGCUCCAGAGGGCGGCAAACCACUCUUCGGUCCAAUUUAAAUGACUCCCAAUUGUGAAUCACUGCUCUGGACGGAUAGAGAGCCAGGUGACAAAACGUUAGCAGCCCUCAAAGCACCAGACCCAGGUUUUAGAGGGAAAUUCUGCCAGAUGUUUGAGAAACAAUUAAAAUGGUUAUUUAAAAUUUUCCAGAACAUAGGGAGUUCCUGUUGUGGCACAGCAGAAAUGAAUCCAGGAGUUCCCGUCGUGGCGCAGUGGUUAACGAAUCCAACUAGGAACCAUGAGGUUGCGGGUUCAAUCCCUGGCCUUGCCCAGCGGGUUAAGGAUCCCGAGUUGCCAUGAGCUGUGGUGUAGGUUGCAGACGUGGCUCGGAUCCCGCUGGCUGUGGCUGUGGUGUAGGCCGGCAGCUGUAGCUCUGAUUAGACCCUUAGACUGGGAACCUCCACAUGCUGUGGGUGUGGCCCAAAAAAGAAAGAAAAAAACCAAAGUGCUUUUCAACCCCAAACUCAGCAUGUCGCAUGAGGAGAAAGCACUUGAAGCCCAUCAGACAUGUGUGCGUAAAUGGCUCAGCACGACGCCGCGCACACACUCAGCAGCUGUGAACUUCCGCUGCUGUCCUUUCUCCUCCGAGGGCUCCUUCAAGAUGUUAGCUGAUGGGCUUUGCUCUUCUCUGCAAAGAUGAGAAGAGCAAACACACCUCGUUUCGCUACGCUUCGUGGGACGAAAAAAUUGCAUGUUUGUGCACGUGGACGUCCUGUGGCAGCCCCACGUUUGGCGAGACCAUCAGCGCCAUUGCCCCAACAGCAUUAUUUUAUUUCUUCGUUUUGUUUUGUUGGUGGAUUUUUUUGGGGGGUGCUCACACCUACAGCAUGUGGAAGUUCUCAGGCCGGGGAUCAAACCCGAGCCAUUGCAGAGACGAUGCUGGAUCCUUAAUUCGCUGCACCACAGAACUCCAGCAAGCGGAACUUUUACAUACACUGCGAAACCAAAAACCGUCCCAUGACCUGUGUGUCAGGACCUGGAUGGUGAGGACGGGCCUGAAGAUCCGGAGCAGUGAGAUCUGGGGACCCGGCUGCAGGCCUGUGUCUCACGAGCAACGUGGCUGAGAGGAGAAAAGCGGGGCCCCGUGCAGAGCAGCCCCCGCGAAGCUGCCAGGAGCCGGCCGCCUGCUCCCCCCAAGGCCUGCCUCCUGCUCACCUGAGCUCCCUGGGUGACUGCAGGAUGAGGGCCUGGACUCCUGGGGCCUAGGCGGUCAUCUGGGCAGAGCAGAGCCUCUCAUCCCCGAACGAAGGGACAGCCCAGCUGGAACACGGACGCCCUGUCCCCAGAGAGCAUCAGUGAGGGCGGGGUCCCCUCGCACGUUGCCGUGGGCGCAUAGGGAGGUGCGGCCACUUUGGAAAACAGCCUGGUGGUUUCUCAGCGCUCAACAUAGACUCACCAUAUAAGCAAGCAGUUCUCUCUCUCUCUCCCUCUAUAAUUUUUUUGGGUCAUGACUGCGGCAUGUAGAAGUUCCCAGGCCAGGGAUUAAACCCAGGCCACAGCGGUGACAACCACUUAACCCCACUAGGCCAACCAGGGAACUCGCCGAGCAAGCAAUUCUACUCCAAGGUGUGCACGGGAGAAACGGCCGCAUCCAUCCACACAAAACCUUGUCACGGUGUCGGAGUUCCUGCUGCGGCGCAGCGGCAUUGGCAGCCUCUUGGGAGCACCGGGACCCAGGUUCACUCCCCAGCCCGGCACAGUGG
Molecule: long non-coding RNA, 3237 nt
Filed under: Sus scrofa (pig)
Lineage: Eukaryota; Metazoa; Chordata; Mammalia; Artiodactyla; Suidae
Description: lncRNA (ENSSSCG00000062929.1)
Source: RNAcentral